CACUUCUUCCCUCUUUCUCCUCUUCUUAGUCGUCUCUUUCGUCGUCUUUUUUUUCUUCUUCAAUCGAUUAUCCAACUAUACCAUAUUCUAAUUCUACCAUGCAAUUGAAUCGAUUAUCAAAUUAGUUUCGAUUUGGGGAUCUCAGCUUCAACCCACGACAUCUCGGCUAUAUGGGAGAAUCUCGAUUUUGAAAUCCGAGACCUGUUUAUUAAAUCGAAUUGGAGGAGGAAGAAGGCGAGGUGAUCUAGUUGGCUCGGAG
Arabidopsis lyrata subsp. lyrata is the source of this 259-nucleotide long non-coding RNA. RefSeq lists it as uncharacterized. The transcript has 2 exons. Lineage: Eukaryota; Viridiplantae; Streptophyta; Magnoliopsida; Brassicales; Brassicaceae. The record is from RefSeq and is a predicted model, not a curated record.